GACGAACGCUGGCGGCGUGCUUAACACAUGCAAGUCGAACGGAAAGGCCCUGCUCUUGCGGGGUGCUCGAGUGGCGAACGGGUGAGUAACACGUGAGUAACCUGCCCUUGACUUUGGGAUAACUUCAGGAAACUGGGGCUAAUACCGGAUAGGUGCUCCUGCUGCAUGGUGGGGGUUGGAAAGUUUCGGCGGUUGGGGAUGGACUCCCGGGUUAUCAGCUUGUUGGUGGGGUAGUGGCUUACCAAGGCUUUGACGGAUAGCCGGCCUGGGCGGGUGGCCAGCCACAAGACGCCUGAGGGACGGACCAGACGCCUACGGGAGGCAACGGGGGGGAAUAUUACACAAUGGGCGGAAGCCUGAUGCGGCAACGCCGCGUGCGGGAUGACGGCCUUCGGGUUGUGAACCGCUUUCGCCUGUGACGAAGCGUGAGUGACGGUAAUGGGUAAAGAAGCACCGGCUAACUACGUG
This 468-nucleotide ribosomal RNA is filed under the name uncultured bacterium. RNAcentral describes it as "partial 16S ribosomal RNA". It matches the Rfam family "Bacterial small subunit ribosomal RNA", at positions 28 to 507 of the family's 1533-position model. The record is from RNAcentral.